This 450-nucleotide ribosomal RNA is filed under the name uncultured Glomeromycotina. RNAcentral describes it as "SSU rRNA". It matches the Rfam family "Eukaryotic small subunit ribosomal RNA", at positions 569 to 1024 of the family's 1831-position model. The record is from RNAcentral. Lineage: Eukaryota; Fungi; Glomeromycota.
AGCAGCCGCGGUAAUUCCAGCUCCAAUAGCGUAUAUUAAAGUUGUUGCAGUUAAAAAGCUCGUAGUUGAAUUUCGAGAUCAAAUUGUUGGUCGUGCCUCGGUACGUACUGGCAUUAUUGAUUUCUCCCUUCUGAAGAACCACGAUGUCAUUAAUUUGGUGUCGUGGGGAAUCAGGACUGUUACUUUGAAAAAAUUAGAGUGUUUAAAGCAGGCUCACGCUUGAAUACAUUAGCAUGGAAUAAUGAAAUAGGACGUUUGAUUCUAUUUUGUUGGUUUCUAGGAUCGACGUAAUGAUUAAUAGGGAUAGUUGGGGGCAUUAGUAUUCAAUUGUCAGGGGUGAAAUUCUUGGAUUUAUUGAAGACUAACUACUGCGAAAGCAUUUGCCAAGGAUGUUUUCAUUAAUCAAGAACGAAAGUUAGGGGAUCGAGGACGAUCAGAUACCGUCGUAGU